UGGCGAACGGGUGAGUAACACGUGGGUAAUCUGCCCUGCACUCUGGGAUAAGCCUGGGAAACUGGGUCUAAUACUGGAUAUGACCUUUCUCCUUAUGGGGUUUGGUGGAAAGUUUUUCGGUGUAGGAUGAGCCCGCGGCCUAUCAGCUUGUUGGUGGGGUGAUGGCCUACCAAGGCGACGACGGGUAGCCGGCCUGAGAGGGUGAUCGGCCACAUUGAGACUGAGAUACGGCCCAG
Molecule: ribosomal RNA, 236 nt
Filed under: uncultured Actinomycetales bacterium
Lineage: Bacteria; Bacillati; Actinomycetota; Actinomycetes; Actinomycetales
Description: partial 16S ribosomal RNA
Rfam family: Bacterial small subunit ribosomal RNA
Source: RNAcentral